AUGGCGUCUCCAGCCGACUUACAUGGAGUAACGGCUGCCGGGAGCCCAAACAAACAGACUCUGAAGACUUCCACCUCCAGCUCCAGCUCUGGAUCCAGCUCCAGCUCCGGAUCCGGCUCCAACUCUAGCUCCAGCUCCGGCUCUGGCUCCAACAGAGACAUUACGACAAGCUGCAAAAUACAAAAGACAAGAAGUCUAUCGAUGCGAGAAUUACAAGAAAUUACAGACAAUUUCUGCAAGGAGCGAGCAAUUGGUGAAGGAGCGUAUGGAAAGGUUUACAAGGGUGCACUUGGCAAUGGCAAAGAGAUUGCAGUGAAGUUGCUUCAUAACAGGCCAGACAUUGACGAUGGGCAAUUCCGACGUGAGUUUGAUAACCUAAUGAGGCUCGAACAUCAAAACAUUGUACAGUUAGUUGGCUAUUGCUAUGAAACACAACAUAAACCUAUCAUAGGCACGGAAGAAACCAUUUUUGCUGAAGAGAUAACCAAAGCGCUAUGCUUCGAGUAUAUGCAAAAAGGGAGCCUGCAGAAGCAUCUCUAUGAGGAAUCUGAUGGCCUCGAUUGGGAGACACGAUACAAAAUUAUCAAGGGGACAUGUGAAGGCUUACAAUACCUUCAUGAAGGAUUCAAAAAACCAAUUUACCAUUUGGACCUAAAACCGGACAACAUACUUCUAGAUGAGAACAUGUUCCCAAAACUUGCGGAUUUUGGUUUGUCUAGGCUCUUCCGUGAACAUAAAACGAUGGUCAUAGAAAGUGUUUCAGGAACAAUUGGGUACAUGCCGCCAGAAUACAUACAUGAAAAUGCAAUCUCGAACAAGUUUGACAUAUUCAGCUUGGGUGUUGCAAUAACAAAGGUAAUUGCAGGGCCAAGCGGCCACACCAGAAGCGCUGAAAUGUCUCACCAAGAGUUUCUUGACCAAGUACAAACAAACUGGAGACGCAGGUUGCGUUCAACGUGUUCUUCUCACAAGCAAUUAAAAGCACACUGCCAUCAAGUGAAUAUAUGUACUGAGAUAGCACUGAGCUGCAUGGAGUACGAUAGGCACAAAAGGCCUGAUAUAAUAGAUAUUAUCCAUCGACUAAAUGACACAGAAGCUACCAUUGACAGGGCCUUGUCAUGGUCGGUGAGUUCGCAAUCAUGGAUGCAAGGAGACAUGGUGAAGCUACACACGUUCACGAGUAAAGCGAUUUUGUGUGGCAAGACGUGCAACAAAUUUCCAGUCCUAGUGCGUAUCACAGCAGCGCCAUGGCGCCACACGGAGGAGAUGCCACGUGCUGGCGUGGACAUUGUUGUGGUUGUUGACAUCAACAUGGGCAGGGUGAGUCACUGGAAGCUGAAAACCAUCAAGCAAGCCCUAAUGACAGUCAUUGACAAGUUCGGCCCAAACGACCGGUUCUCUAUUGUGUGGUUCAAGGGAAGUGUGCCCCACACUAUGAAGUUAACCUUCACGUCCAACAAAGGCAAGGAAAUUGCCAAGGUCAUGAUCAAUGAGCUUGAUGGGACCCAUGACAACAAUACAAUUGCCGCUCUGCGAGAGGGAUUUGAGAUCCUGAGAGGGCGUGGAGCGGAAGAGGCAUACAACCAUGUAGGUUGCAUCCUGUUCGUCUCCAAUGGUGAUGGCAUGGCAGCCCUCAAGACGGAGAUCUCUUCUGAAUUCCCCGUGCACGCAAUUGGUGUGCAGAAACACCACGAUCCGGAGGUCAUGAAGUAUAUCGCCGACAAGACCUGUGGCACCUACUCCUUCCUUGAUGAAGAUGACAGCUGCAUCCAUGAAGCCUUCAAGUUAUUCACCACUGGCAUCACGUCUGUCGCUGCAAGGUUCAUACAGAUCACCCUCGCAGCUCACGAGGGCAUUACAAUAUCUUCCAUCGAGUCUGGUGGCUACAAGAACCUUGUGGGAUCAGACAAACAAACCGGAGUGAUAGACAUCGAUAACAUGUACGCGGGAGAGCAGAAGAACUUCAUAGUCUACCUAAGUGUCGGGGAGGGAAACAAGAAGCUUCUGACCAUCGGCGGCCAGUACAGAAGCUUCGAUGCGAGCAAGCGGCUGGCUGACAAGGAUGUCUUCAUUCUGCGACCACUCUCUGAAUGCUCGCCCGACAAGCUAGGCAUCCAUCAUGAGGUGGCCGCGGAGCGCAUGCGCAUCUGGCUCAUGAAGGGAUUCUCGGUCAUGGUGGAGAUGCAGCAUCCCAUGUGUGGUGAGGGGCCACGGGAACUAUGGAACAGUAUCAGGCACCCUAGCAGCGAGGGCCACUGUGCAACCAAGGAAACCAUGGUGAACCUCAGCAAUGAUGUGACUGAGAUUGAAAGGAACAUUAGAGACUAUCUAAACAACCAUGAAAGAUGGUACACGAAGGUCCCUUACCUAAUGUCAUGGCUGAGUUGCCACAAGUGGCAGCGUGCUACCACCAAGGGCUCAUGCUACGACUCCGGUGCUUUCACCCUAUCACAACUCAGUGCCUCAGAGCAGCAUGUAGGUGAAGAUGGUGAGGAUAAUGACGACUAA
RNAcentral lists this ribosomal RNA (2508 nucleotides) under Triticum aestivum (bread wheat). RNAcentral describes it as "partial small subunit ribosomal RNA". The record is from RNAcentral. Lineage: Eukaryota; Viridiplantae; Streptophyta; Magnoliopsida; Poales; Poaceae.